CACACGGAAAAAAACACCUCCCAAAAUAUAUGAAUAUGCCUGGGAAGCCCAUUUAAGGCUAUACAGUGACCUGUAGCUGUGUACAUAUGCUCUACCUUUAGGUCUUUAUUUAAGUAUAAAAGUAUUAACAAAAAUACCAAACUCUAGUUCAAACAGCUAGGGAAAGUUCAUAAAAAACUAACAAAACCAAUUUUUAAAAACUUUAUCAACCAACAGAACGAAUUGAAUAAAUGACAUACUCCUGACUUAGUACGG
RNAcentral lists this long non-coding RNA (255 nucleotides) under Mytilus galloprovincialis (Mediterranean mussel). Lineage: Eukaryota; Metazoa; Mollusca; Bivalvia; Mytilida; Mytilidae. The record is from RNAcentral.